This 680-nucleotide unclassified non-coding RNA is filed under the name Hevea brasiliensis (rubber tree). The record is from RNAcentral. Lineage: Eukaryota; Viridiplantae; Streptophyta; Magnoliopsida; Malpighiales; Euphorbiaceae.
GUUGCAAUGUCAAGGUUGUAAGCACGUGUCUCAGCAUCCGAUUAAGAGAUACAAGCAUUUUGAGAUUGGUGGAGACAAGAAGGGGAAGGGAACUUCUCUUUUCUAAAUGCUAUUUUAUGGGUAUGCUUUUGGUUGUGUUUCACUGUUAAGACCUUUGAACUAGGCAAAUCAAGAAUUUUUGGUCACUUUAUUUUGUGGGUUUCUUUUGUUGUCAUUUCUAGACAUCUACUAUUGGUUUAUGAUAGUUAUUUACAAUUAAUUGCCAAUUAACUUUUAGGUAGAAUUAGUGAGCUAUUUCAAUUGAGUUAUGAAUGAUUCAAAUUUACUUGAAUUGCACAAAUGAUUUGCAAUAUUACAUGUUUAAGUAUUUCUUGUGACUUAAAACAUGCUUGAAGUAAGCUUUUGUAUCCUGCAACAGCUUAGGUAUACAUCUUUCUAGUUGCUAGCUCUAUUCUUUUAAAGAGAAGUUAAAAAGAACUGACUGAGAGAGACGGACCCCAUUUUAGCAUUUGUCAUAAAGAUAAAGAUGUAAUUGAAACUAAAGAAACCUCACUUACAAUGCAGAAGCAGUUUCACAUUAAAAGAAGGCUUAAUAAUUAAAGAAAGAAUAUUUACACUUGUUUUUGUCUAUGAACUUCAAAGAUAGUUAUGAUUUUAGUUACAGGUCAUAUUUCAGUGAU